This 61-nucleotide unclassified non-coding RNA is filed under the name Nostoc sp. FB1-KK1. The record is from RNAcentral. Lineage: Bacteria; Bacillati; Cyanobacteriota; Cyanophyceae; Nostocales; Nostocaceae.
ACAAUCAUUUGGUUAAUUUGCGUUACUUGCAGUCUUCAGGGUUUUGUUACCCAAAAAGUUU